Molecule: ribosomal RNA, 253 nt
Filed under: uncultured bacterium
Lineage: Bacteria
Description: partial 16S ribosomal RNA
Rfam family: Bacterial small subunit ribosomal RNA
Source: RNAcentral
UACGGAGGGUGCAAGCGUUAAUCGGAAUUACUGGGCGUAAAGCGCACGUAGGUGGUUUGUUAAGCUAGCUGUGAAAUCCCGGGGCUCAACCUCGGAAUUGCCUCCGAUACUGCCGUGCUUGAGGACUGGAGAGGAGAUUGGAAUUCACAGUGGAGCAGUGAAAUGCGUAGAUAUUGUGAGGAACACUAGUGGCGAAGGCGAAUCUCUGGACAGUUCCUGACGCUGAGGCACGAAGGCCAGGGGAGCAAACGGG